UUGGACAGAAGAUUCACUCUAUGGUUGAAGCCAAAUGGCUUUAUGCACAUUCUCUGGUCUGGUCCUGACCAGUCAGAAAUUCCAAGCCAAAACAGCGACUUUGCUUGAGGAAAUAUUCAAAGACGCCCAUGGGAGCAGCCAGUCAUCCAUCACAGGCCAGCGUGGAGUCCAGCGCCGUGGCCCUGAGGACCAGCCUGCCCACAGCAGCAAAGCAGCUCAUAGCGACACAGAACACAAGCACCCCUGGGGAGGAGACCAAGCAGUCGCCUGCUACGAAAACUGAGCAGUGGAGGGGAUCAAGACAGCAUGAAACUGGAAAGGAAGACUGCAAACCUGACUGAAGUAGUUGAGAGACACUCGGCACAUGGCACACUUCAACUCAAGAUGUUGGGAGCUGUCAAAGCACCACUAUCUUUAGCAUGACGAUCUCACCCUUCUGCACAGAGUCUGCACAUGUGUGGAUCUCUUGGAGGGCGCAGCGCUCCUCUCUUCUCUGCUCUUUUCAUCUCCUUUGCCUCCUUUCAUUUCUAGCACGCCUCAUGUUGAGCUUUGUUUGCAAGCCAACACGUUGAGGUUCACACUCAGGGAGGUGGCAGAGGAAGGGGAACAGCAGGCAGAAGCCCUUUUUAAACAUGGCACUUGCGGGUGUACAGCGGCCCACCUAUGUGGAAACAUCGAGGAGACGUUAACCUGGGUCAAAACCGAAAAUGAAGAUGAAAGCAAAGCUUUGGGAAGCAUGUUCACUCUCUGCCCCAUCAACCCCAUGUUUGCACAAACACCAUCUGACCACAGCACCUCAAGAUGGCCCUCGUGACUGUAAACA
Long non-coding RNA from Rhinichthys klamathensis goyatoka, 823 nucleotides. RefSeq lists it as uncharacterized. The transcript is spliced from 3 exons. Lineage: Eukaryota; Metazoa; Chordata; Actinopteri; Cypriniformes; Leuciscidae. The record is from RefSeq and is a predicted model, not a curated record.